CCUACGGGCGGCAGCAGUGGGGAAUAUUGGACAAUGGGGGCAACCCUGAUCCAGCCAUGCCGCGUGUGUGAAGAAGGCCCUCGGGUUGUAAAGCACUUUCAGUGAGGAAGAACGCCUGGUGGUUAAUACCCAUCAGGAAAGACAUCACUCACAGAAGAAGCACCGGCUAACUCCGUGCCAACAGCCGCGGUAAUACGGAGGGUGCGAGCGUUAAUCGGAAUUACUGGGCGUAAAGCGCGCGUAGGUGGCUUGAUAAGCCGGUUGUGAAAGCCCCGGGCUCAACCUGGGAACGGCAUCCGGAACUGUCAAGCUAGAGUGCAGGAGAGGAAGGUAGAAUUCCCGGUGUAGCGGUGAAAUGCGUAGAGAUCGGGAGGAAUACCAGUGGCGAAGGCGGCCUUCUGGACUGACACUGACACUGAGGUGCGAAAGCGUGGGUAGCAAACAGGAUUAGAUACCCGAGUAGUC
This 465-nucleotide ribosomal RNA is filed under the name Vreelandella stevensii. RNAcentral's name for it is "partial 16S ribosomal RNA". It matches the Rfam family "Bacterial small subunit ribosomal RNA", at positions 338 to 795 of the family's 1533-position model. Lineage: Bacteria; Pseudomonadati; Pseudomonadota; Gammaproteobacteria; Oceanospirillales; Halomonadaceae. The record is from RNAcentral.